Molecule: long non-coding RNA, 255 nt
Filed under: Gossypium barbadense (sea-island cotton)
Lineage: Eukaryota; Viridiplantae; Streptophyta; Magnoliopsida; Malvales; Malvaceae
Description: long non-coding RNA (GBAR_LNC012335)
Source: RNAcentral
CUAAAAUCAUCUCAAAAUUUCUUUAAUGCUGAAUGAAAUGACUUGCUCAAUGAUCUGUUUCGCACUUUUCUAGCUUCUGAAUCAACUAUUCUUUUCUCUUUCCCGAGUUCUUCAGCCUUACAUGCUCGUUCAAUAAGCACAACAAACUCUAUUAUCUCCAAAAUUCUAACUAAGAUGCAAAUAUCUUCAUUUAAGCCGUCUUCAAACCUUUUACACAUUAUUUCUUCCGUCGAGAUACAUUCUCGUGCAUACUGG